Long non-coding RNA from Haliotis rubra (blacklip abalone), 191 nucleotides. RefSeq lists it as uncharacterized. NCBI's taxonomy places the organism in Eukaryota, Metazoa, Mollusca, Gastropoda, Lepetellida, Haliotidae. The transcript is spliced from 2 exons. The record is from RefSeq and is a predicted model, not a curated record.
UUCGCUCAUGCGCAGUUUUUCGCACCACACAAUUUGAACAAGCUCCAUUGCAGACAUCACGACAUCAACGCUACAUAGAAGAAGAAAGAAAGAGACUAUAACAAACUCCCAUGGAGUAACAGAAAAUGAGGUCUACCUCGAGAUGGGAAAGUACCUAAAGAACGCCCCUGGACGAUGUAGCGGGGGGUGGA